Solanum dulcamara is the source of this 2656-nucleotide RNA transcript. It is a transcript of the gene named zinc finger BED domain-containing protein RICESLEEPER 2-like, with no coding region annotated. The transcript has 4 exons. Lineage: Eukaryota; Viridiplantae; Streptophyta; Magnoliopsida; Solanales; Solanaceae. The record is from RefSeq and is a predicted model, not a curated record.
CCAUUUCCCUCUCCUCGACCAUUCCUCUCUUGGCGAUUCAAUUUUAAUAUUGAAGAAUCUUUUUCAUGUUAUCAUUAUGAAGAAUCUUUUUCGUUUAAGUUAGCAUUACCUAACAAUUGACCAUGGAAUAGAUUAUAUUUACGAAAAUUCACCAUGAUGGAGUCUUAUCUCAGAUUCCUUUUGUCCUUACUUAUGUUGGAAACUGUGUGCCAGCCCUCAGGUAUAUAGAUAAGAACCACUUUUCCAUAUUGAAACUAUUAUAUUAUACUAAAGAAAUGGGGUAUGCAACUGUUGGAGGUUUUUAUUACCAAGAUUUAGUGACUAAAACAUUCGACCUAAUUAAAUCUGACCAACAUCUACUAGACCUAAUUAAAGACUUAGAACAUGAGGACACUUUUGAAGUAUUUGUUUAUCAUGUAUUGGAUGAACCAUUAGUUGAUACCGAGGGACCAACUGAUUAUCUAACUAAUGAUAGUAUUGGUAUUGGUGAGAGUGUUAAUCUAGGUGGAGAGUAUGAGGUUAAUAACAUAGUUGAAGAGAAUGAUAUUGAUUCUAUUAACCUACAAGAUGUUGAUAUAGAUGAUGAGUUAUCAGAUUUCUUGACUAGCGAUUCAGAUCUAGGAAAUAUACCUUUAGAAGAUGGCUUAGAUGUUGAUGAGGAGUUGAGAGCUUUUAGACAAAAAAAUAAAAAAUAAAAAAUAAAAAAAUAAAAAAAGGUUGUUGAACCUGAAGAAAUAUCGGUUGGAGAGGCUGGUGGUGUAGAUAGGGACUUCGAUGAUAUUGAAAAAAAUAAAACUAACAAAUAUGCAGAAAAAUUAGGUGGAGAUGAGGAAUAUCUUGAUAACUCUGACUGCUGAAGUGAUAAUAGUGAGAAACAACUUGAUGUGGAUACUGUUAGGGGAGUAGAUGUACCUUCUAGAAGGAGAAGCAAAAAAGUAAGAUAUGAUGAAGAUUGUGAGGUGUCAAUAUUUAAGCUUGGAAUGAUCUUUGAGGGUGCAAAUCAAUUUAAGAAGACAGUGUCAAAUUAUAUUGUAGAGUUCAGGAGGCAGUCAAAGUUAAGAGCUAAUGAAAGACAUGAAAUGAGCAUAAAGUGCAAAAAUUACAAGUAUAAGUCGAUGUUAUAUGCUUUCACUGACAGAGAUUCUGGUGAUUUCAUUGUAAAGAACUAUCAUCCUGUUCACAAGUGUAUUUCAUUAAACAAGAACAAAUUGUUUAAUUUAAAGUUGAUAGCUAUAAAGUUUAAGGGCAUAAUUGUAUCUCAACUAGGGCUGUUCAAAACCAUCCGCUACCGAUAACCCAAUCACAAAAUUAGCUUAUUAGCUUAUUGGUAUUGGGUUAUCGCAUUAGCGGGUGGGAAAUAGAUUUAAAUUUUAUAAUUAACGGCUUAUCGAUGUGGGGGACAGAUUACUCAAUUUUGUUAUUGGGUAAACCGUUAAUCCGUUAAGAAUUUAUUAUAUUUUAAUAUAUUUUAUCCCUAAACAUAUAAAAUAUGUAUAAUAUUGAUAAUUAUAAUUUGUAAACCUAAAAUAAGGGCCAAGCCUAUUUAAUUAAACAGGCCAAAUCCAUUUAAUUAAAUAGACCAAGCCCAUUUAAAGUAGUAGCCCUACUUCUAGUCUUCUACAGAGUUCUACACUACUUGAGCACUUCACAAUUGGCUUUAGGUUUAGCUACUUCCGCCUCUGUCUCAGUCUCUCUCUCAGACUCUCAUCUCUUAUUCUCUCUUGCGCAGUUACGACUUGCGUCGCCUUGUCUUCUCCUCCACCAGACCUCCCCUCCUUUCCCUUAGGCCGCCGAACCUCCGCCUCUAUUCUCUUUUCAAAAGCUGAGUAUGAACACUAUAGAGGAAGAGAAGGGAUAACAGCAGUUCAAAAUUUUGACAUGAAAAGGGGUUUCGAAGAUUCACUGAUAUGAUAUCAGUGGUGGUUAGGUUUUAACUGAUCCAAAUUCAUAACUGAAUUAGGUUCUCUGCAAUACUUUCUUUUUACUGAAAACCCUAAUUCAGCCUGGUGAAAUUGGGGUUUCUUUAAUAUCUAAAAAGGUUCAAUGGGUGCUCAAGAGAAGUCUUCUAGCACCAACAACUCGAUGCAGAUUUAGCCAGCGCUGGAAAAUACCCUACGCCUACUGUAGUUGACAUAUAAAUAUAUAUUGGUGAGAACUAAUGCAGUUGCUACUUGCUACUCUUUUGUAAUAGAGAAUUGGAGAAGAAUGCGCUUCCACAAAAAAAGAAAGACGAGCAGAAAGCUGUUUGAGUUGAUUUUGAUCAGUAAUGGAGUUGCAGUUGCUUUUAUAUGUUAGGGAGAUAAACAAACAAAUUCACGCAAGGCAAAAAUUUUGAACUUGAGUGCAUGACCUCAUUGAAGGAACUUUUUUAAUUUGAAGCCCCCACAUUGUGUUGUACUAUUUGUUUAGCUGGUUCUAUUUGGAUUAUGUAUGAUUCAUCUCGCUUGAGUUAGCAUACUUUCCACUGGUUUACCGUGAUGGAUAAUUCUUAUUUGCAUGAUAUUGACAUUGAGUAGAUGCUGAAUACAUAAUGUAGUAGUUUUAUGACUUAAGUUAUCUUCAAUACAUUUCUAAUGAAAAUUCCCAGUAGAUAAUGAUCUUUUGCACCACUUCAGGAGCAAGAGUGCAUUAAUCUCUGUGUAGUGUUAAUUGUUAA